Molecule: long non-coding RNA, 860 nt
Organism: Pyrus x bretschneideri (Chinese white pear)
Lineage: Eukaryota; Viridiplantae; Streptophyta; Magnoliopsida; Rosales; Rosaceae
Exons: 2
Source: RefSeq, a predicted model, not a curated record
GGAAGAAAUAACAGUGGAUAGAACUGUCAACGGCAUCGGUGGAAGCUACGAUAUUCGACGAUUGUUAAUGUCAUGACAUUGUUGACAUGGCGUUGACGUUUAAUCCCAUUAAAUUAAUAUAAUAUGGUGUUGAUAUUCAAGUUCAUGUCGGGUGAAUUGCCUGUGUAUCAUGGCGAGUUACUUUCCCAGCAAAAAAUUACAGCAAAAUAGCCCACCCAUGUAGAAGCUCCCUUUGGAUCUUCCAUACAUGGGCUGACCAAUCAACCCAAAGGCCCAAGUGGCCCGCAACAAAAACAAAAACCUGCCAUACGACGCCGGUACUGGAUAAACCCCUCCAUCUCUUCCGCAUUCACUCACCCUCCCCAAAACCCUCCUCCCUCCCUCCUCCCUCCCUCUCCCGCCGUCAUCCGAUCCAAUGGCGCCGAAGAAGGACAAGGCAACUCCGCCGUCGUCGAAGCCGGCCAAGUCCGGAGAAGGUCAACAACAUGGUGCUCUUCGACCAGGGCAACUACGACAAGUUCCUGACUGAGGCGCCCAAGUACAAGCUGAUCACGCCGUCCAUUCUCUCCGACCGCCUCAGGAUCAACGGGUCGCUCGCGUGGAGGACGAUCAGGGAGUUGAUGGCGCGAGGGUUGAUUCGGAUGGUCUCGGCCCACGCCAGCCAGUAGACCUACGCCAGAGCCACCAACACCUAGGUCUCUACUUGCCCUUCAUGUUUAGUUCUCUGGCUGUGGAAGUUUGAAUCAUUUUUUGGUUAUUGUUAUGCCUCUUACGCUAUUUGGCACCGUUUCGAAUCUACAUUUUUCAGUUUUUCUUAUGACAAGCCAGAUAAUUUAUGAUGAUAUUGGUUUCUCCUUGCA